RNAcentral lists this ribosomal RNA (187 nucleotides) under uncultured Staphylococcus sp. RNAcentral describes it as "partial 16S ribosomal RNA". It matches the Rfam family "Bacterial small subunit ribosomal RNA", at positions 153 to 334 of the family's 1533-position model. The record is from RNAcentral. Lineage: Bacteria; Bacillati; Bacillota; Bacilli; Caryophanales; Staphylococcaceae.
GAAACCGGAGCUAAUACCGGAUAAUAUAUUUAACCGCAUGGUUCAAUAGUGAAAGACGGUUUUGCUGUCACUUAUAGAUGGAUCCGCGCCGCAUUAGCUAGUUGGUAAGGUAACGGCUUACCAAGGCGACGAUGCGUAGCCGACCUGAGAGGGUGAUCGGCCACACUGGAACUGAGACACGGUCCAG